GCCCCUGCCCUUGGUGGGCUACAAGGGCCUGCGGCAGGGGGUCAGGCUGCAGCGCAUCCGGCAGUCCUGGUGCCAAGUGAAGAGCAGCGUGCGGAGGAGCGUCGGGGCCGAGCGGGGCCGGCUGUGGCUGGCAGGGAGCUCGGCACCCAAGGGCACUAUGGAAGCUGACCCGAAGCUGCCGUUCCAUCUCCGGUUUCAGGUCAAUGUGCUCUUCCACACCAUGGCGAUGCAGGCGUAAGGAGCACUGGCAAGAAAAGUCACCGUGACAGCCCCUUAAGCGUGGAUGGGAAUUUUGCGGAGAAACGCUUGAGGCGAGUUGGCCUAACCUACUCCCCAUCCUUCCCUCUCAGGUUUCCCUGCCUCCCUGCAGCCACACAACCACCCCGACGGCGUGUGCCAGGGCCCUGGCCGGGAUCCCUGGUGCGACAGAGAGGAGAAGGGACCAUCGCGGUGUCCCCGGCUGGUGAGAACCCGUCAGUCCCUGGGGAUGGGAGUGGGGGGCUGCUGCCAGGGCCACCAGCAGGUCCCCCCGGGGUGCCAGAGCAGCCCUGGUGCCACCAGGACCAGGUAGCCAUCGCAGUGGCCCAUCCUGGCCGAGGGGUGGAGGUCGGUGGCCCAGAGGGACCUUCCCGGGCCACUCUUCCGCAGGCCCUGUGCUACGUCUUGGGGUGUGCUACCCCUCCGAACCCCGACACAGGGGCUCUGGGGUGGCUGCUCCCCGAUGGCUUCACAAUCUCCCACGCCAGCUCAGCCCUGGGUUGACGUGGCAGCCACUGUGUGUCUACACGAUGUCACCACGGCAUCACAAAGGUGGCCCCCCUCUUAGCGGGUUGCGGGGAGGCUCGGGUGUCACUUUGACUGCACGCGAGCCAGCGAGCAGAUGGGCAAGCGUGUGGAAAACGCAGCAGAGAUGGGAGGAGAAGCAAACAAGCAGAACCGCUGGAGGAGAUGCUGGCGAUCCCUGCGCGAGAUGGAGGAGUGGAAGCUGACGGUGCUGCUCUUCCUCUCCAGCCUGAGCCUCUGGGGGCUCUGCACGCUCGUGCUGCCCUGCACCACCAGCUUGGUGGCCGUCCUGGGUCUGGGCAUCUUCAUGACCUGGUGGCCCAACAUCAAGGCCAAGGUCAAGGUAGGCGUCCGUCUUGGCAUCGCCCCAAACGCUCCCUGGGCAGGGGCUAGCCCGG
Molecule: long non-coding RNA, 1181 nt
Filed under: Aquila chrysaetos chrysaetos
Lineage: Eukaryota; Metazoa; Chordata; Aves; Accipitriformes; Accipitridae
Description: lncRNA (ENSACCG00020005846.1)
Source: RNAcentral